This 444-nucleotide ribosomal RNA is filed under the name uncultured bacterium. RNAcentral's name for it is "bacterial SSU rRNA". It matches the Rfam family "Bacterial small subunit ribosomal RNA", at positions 338 to 795 of the family's 1533-position model. The record is from RNAcentral.
CCUACGGGUGGCUGCAGUCGAGAAUCUUCCGCAAUGGGCGAAAGCCUGACGGAGCGACGCCGCGUGGUAGAUGAAGCUUUUCGGAGUGUAAAUACCUUUUAUGACCGAGGAAAUUUUUGACGGUAGGUCAUGAAUAAGAGGCUGCUAACUCUGUGCCAGCAGCAGCGGUAAUACAGAGACCUCAAGCGUUAUCCGGAAUCACUGGGCGUAAAGGGUGCGUAGGUUGUUUUGUUAGUUCUUCGUCAAAACCUCCGGCUUAACCGGAGACACGCGGGGAAUACGGCAAAACUAGGAGGGUAUGAGAGGCGCGCGGAACUCAUGGUGUAGGGGUGAAAUCCGUUGAUAUCAUGGGGAACACCAAAAGCGAAGGCAGCGCGCUGGCAUAUUCCUGACACUGAGGCACGAAAGCGUGGGGAGCAAAUGGGAUUAGAUACCCCAGUAGUC